GUCCAUGUGGUGAAAUUGGUAGACACGCCAUCUUGAGGGGGUGGUUCCGCAAGGUGUGAGGGUUCGAAUCCCUCCGUGGACA
Molecule: transfer RNA, 82 nt
Filed under: Larkinella terrae
Lineage: Bacteria; Pseudomonadati; Bacteroidota; Cytophagia; Cytophagales; Spirosomataceae
Description: tRNA-Leu
Rfam family: tRNA
About the family: Transfer RNA (tRNA) molecules are approximately 80 nucleotides in length. Their secondary structure includes four short double-helical elements and three loops (D, anti-codon, and T loops).
Source: RNAcentral